Molecule: ribosomal RNA, 303 nt
Filed under: uncultured bacterium
Lineage: Bacteria
Description: bacterial SSU rRNA
Rfam family: Bacterial small subunit ribosomal RNA
Source: RNAcentral
UGAGGAAUAUUGGUCAAUGGACGGAAGUCUGAACCAGCCAUGCCGCGUGCAGGAUGACGGCUCUAUGAGUUGUAAACUGCUUUUGUAUUAGGGUAAACACCCCUACGUGUAGGGGCUUGAAAGUAUAAUACGAAUAAGGAUCGGCUAACUCCGUGCCAGCAGCCGCGGUAAUACGGAGGAUCCAAGCGUUAUCCGGAUUUAUUGGGUUUAAAGGGUGCGUAGGCGGUUUGAUAAGUUAGAGGUGAAAUACCGGUGCUCAACACCGGAACUGCCUCUAAUACUGUUGAACUAGAGAGUAGUUGC